AUUGAACGCUGGCGGCAGGCCUAACACAUGCAAGUCGAACGAGUGGCGGACGGGUGAGUCAUGUCUGGGAAACUGCCUGAUGGAGGGGGAUAACUACUGGAAACGGUAGCUAAUACCGCAUACCAUCAGAUGUGCCCAGAUGGGGUUAGCUAGUUGGUGGGGUAACGGAUCACCAAGGAGUAUAUCCCUAGCUGGUCUGAGAGGAUGACCAGCCACACUGGAACUGUGACACGGUCCAGACUCCUACGGGAGGGAGCAGUGGGAAAUAUUGAACAAUGGGCGAAAGCCUGAUGCAGCCAUGCGGCGUGUAUGAAGAAGGCCUUCGGGUUGUAAAGUACUUGCAGCGGGGAGGCGUUACCCGCAGAAGAAGCACCGGCUAACACCGUGCCAGCAGCCGCGGUAAUAC
This 406-nucleotide ribosomal RNA is filed under the name uncultured bacterium. RNAcentral's name for it is "partial 16S ribosomal RNA". It matches the Rfam family "Bacterial small subunit ribosomal RNA", at positions 30 to 526 of the family's 1533-position model. The record is from RNAcentral.